UACGAAGGGGGCUAGCGUUGCUCGGAAUCACUGGGCGUAAAGGGUGCGUAGGCGGGUAUUUAAGUCAGAGGUGAAAUCCUGGAGCUCAGCUCCAGAACUGCCUUUGAUACUGAGUAUCUUGAGUACGGGAGAGGUGAGUGGAACUGCGAGUGUAGAGGUGAAAUUCGUAGAUAUUCGCAAGAACACCAGUGGCGAAGGCGGCUCACUGGCCCGUUACUGACGCUGAGGCACGAAAGCGUGGGGAGCAAACAGG
RNAcentral lists this ribosomal RNA (253 nucleotides) under uncultured bacterium. Its description in RNAcentral is "partial 16S ribosomal RNA". It matches the Rfam family "Bacterial small subunit ribosomal RNA", at positions 524 to 776 of the family's 1533-position model. The record is from RNAcentral.